AAUGCUUCGCAGCCACGGACCCGACGCAGAGGGAAGCGAGCCGCAGCCUCCGCAGCAGGAUGCCCCGCUGGGCCCGAACCCGUGUGCUGCCGGCUCCUCCUAUUCAGCUGUGCCCCAAACCUCCUGGGGUUGAAACUGCUUUCGUGCCACAACUGGCAGGUUGCCUCCACAGAAAUCCCUUGUAUACAACGCUCUUGCUGCCUGGCAGCUACUGGGCUGCAGCUACAUGCAGGGAGCAAAGGGCCUGGAGGUUUGCACUGUGAAUGCCAGGCUUUGAUAGGAUGUGCAUGGGGCUGAGUCAGGCCUCGUUUGGGUUCGGUUUCAAUAGGCUGGAUGGGGUCCGCCCCGCAGGUGAAGGAAGCCAUUUCAGAUGCCAGCAAAAGAAGACACAAAGAAAGAGCAGGAGCCUAUUCCCACUGCCUAAAAAGUGAGGUGCCCCCGCUCUACUCCAGGCUUAAGACAGGAGAUGGAGAUGGGAGUCCAGUUCGCACAGCCUGCACUGGACCACGUACAGCUAGCAGGACGAUGAACUAGGAGGGCAGCAUCUCCACAUCCCGCCCUUCUGGCUACCAUGCUAUUAACUCCUUACGUUGCACAUCUCAGUGCUUUAUUCAGGAGAGUGAAUUGCAGAAUCAGAGCAGCUGACCAGCAGAAACUUUCCUAAUGCCUGCCUGCCUUCACCUCGUAGUGAAGGUGCUUCUGAUUAACAACGUUUCCAAGGGCGGAGAGACCCAGAGCAACACAAAGACACCUGGGGAGACAGGUGGGGCUGGAGAGGGAGCACAGGGUAGAGCACUGGACACCUGCCUCUAGCAAACUGAAUGCAAACCCAGCUUGCACCAGCUGUGGGGGGUGAUUGCACUGGUCACAGACCCCAAAGGGGCACCCUUUCUUGCUCCAUCCACCGUGGCAGUCAAGGUGUCAGCUUGACAGUGUGAUCUGGUUGUGGGUCAUUUGGGUUUCGCCCACAUUACAAUGCUAGGAGGUUUGAGACUCACCCACUGUCACCAGGGUCGUGACACAAUUCCAUCAUGGUGCAUGUCUUUAUCCACUGCUCCCUCGUUGUCCGUGACACCAUAAGAAACAAGUGUGGCCCGAUGUGCAAUGACCGGCACUGGAACAUGGAGCACACCGGGGUUAUUGUUUUAUAGUUGCAUGGCAAGAAACAGGCUUAUGAAACAUGCUGUGCUCAUAACUGAUCUGUGUAACCAUGUGUAUUUGCCCCUCUUCCCCCAGCUUCCUGCCCCACAACACUUUCAAAAGGUUUGUUCCACCUACUUGUCACUUCCCGCCUUAAUUCAGAUCAUGGAUGUUUAGGGCAGAUCCCAUCGUUCACUGCAAGGCCACAAGGCUCCCAUCUCGAGCAAGGCUUCGAGACACCGCUGCUGUAGAAACGGCAAUGCUAAAAAGUG
This is a long non-coding RNA of Gavialis gangeticus (Gharial), 1412 nucleotides long. RefSeq lists it as uncharacterized. NCBI's taxonomy places the organism in Eukaryota, Metazoa, Chordata, Crocodylia, Gavialidae. The transcript is spliced from 2 exons. The record is from RefSeq and is a predicted model, not a curated record.